This 497-nucleotide ribosomal RNA is filed under the name uncultured bacterium. RNAcentral's name for it is "partial 16S ribosomal RNA". It matches the Rfam family "Bacterial small subunit ribosomal RNA", at positions 28 to 507 of the family's 1533-position model. The record is from RNAcentral.
GAUGAACGCUGGCGGCGUGCCUAAUACAUGCAAGUCGAGCGAACGGACGAGAAGCUUGCUGUUCUGAUGUUAGCGGCGGGCGGGUGAGUAACACGUGGAUAACCGACCUAUAAAACUGGGAUAACUUCGGGAAACCGGAGCUAAUAGCGGAUAAUAUUUUGAACCGAAUGGUUCGAAAGUGAAAGACGGUCUUGCGGUGACUAAUAGAUGGAUCCGCGCUGCAUUAGCUAGGUGGUAAGGUAACGGCUUACCAAGGCAACGAUGCAUAGGCGACCUGAGAGGGUGAUCGGCCACCCUGGAACUGAGACACGGUCCAGACUCCUACGGGAGGCAGCAGUAGGGAAUCUUCCGCAAUGGGUGAAAGCCUGACGGAGCAACGCCGCGUGAGUGAUGAAGGUCUUCGGAUCGUAAAACUCUGUUAUUAGGGAAGAACAUAUGUGUAAGUAACUGUGCACAUCUUGACGGUACCUAAUCAGAAAGCCACGGCUAACUACGUG